UGCCAGCCGCCGCGGUAAUACGAAGGGGGCUAGCGUUGUUCGGAAUCACUGGGCGUAAAGCGUAUGUAGGCGGAUCAAAAAGUUAGAUGUGAAAUCCCUGGGCUCAACCCAGGAACUGCAUUUAAAACUAGUGAUCUAGAAUUUGGUAGGGGUUAGUAGAAUUUCCAGUGUAGAGGUGAAAUUCGUAGAUAUUGGAAAGAAUACCAGUGGCGAAGGCGACUAACUGGAUCGAUACUGACGCUGAGGUGCGAAAGCGUGGGGAGCAAACAGGAUUAGAUA
This 279-nucleotide ribosomal RNA is filed under the name uncultured bacterium. Its description in RNAcentral is "partial 16S ribosomal RNA". It matches the Rfam family "Bacterial small subunit ribosomal RNA", at positions 506 to 784 of the family's 1533-position model. The record is from RNAcentral.